GUAGACACGUAGUUUGAUCAGUGGCUCGAGGACGAACGCUGGCGGCGUGACCUAACACAUGCAAGUCGAACGGAGUGAAGCCCUUCGGGACUUUACUUAGUGGCGAACGGGUGAGUAACGCGUGAGGAACCUGCCUUUCAGUGGGGGACAACAGUUGGAAACGACUGCUAAUACCGCAUGAUACUUUUUGGAGGCAUCUCUGGAAAGUCAAAGAUUUAUUGCUGAAAGAUGGUCUCGCGUCUGAUUAGCUAGUUGGCGGGGGUUAACGGGCCCACCAAGGCGACGAUCAGUAGCCGGUCUGAGAGGAUGAACGGCCACAUUGGGACUGAGAUACGGCCCAGACUCCUACGGGAGGCAGCAGUGGGGAAUAUUGGGCAAUGGGCGAAAGCCUGACCCAGCAACGCCGCGUGAAGGAAGAAGGCCUUCGGGUUGUAAACUUCUUUUAGCAGGGACGAAGGACGUGACGGUACCUGCAGAAAAAGCAACGGCUAACUACGUG
RNAcentral lists this ribosomal RNA (499 nucleotides) under uncultured bacterium. Its description in RNAcentral is "bacterial SSU rRNA". It matches the Rfam family "Bacterial small subunit ribosomal RNA", at positions 1 to 507 of the family's 1533-position model. The record is from RNAcentral.